Long non-coding RNA from Cyprinodon tularosa, 364 nucleotides. RefSeq lists it as uncharacterized. The record is from RefSeq and is a predicted model, not a curated record. Lineage: Eukaryota; Metazoa; Chordata; Actinopteri; Cyprinodontiformes; Cyprinodontidae. The transcript has 3 exons.
UCUGGACAGUGUUCUGAUACAGCUCAUUUUCUCUCCUUUUUAGAUGGCGUCUCACCAGAUGUACAUCUGCAUCCCAACUGGGACUCUCCCUGAUGCCUUGGCUGUCUUACCAUCACCUCAAACCAUGCAUGGCUAUCUUGGAAUAAGCUCCAGCUCCAGGAUAUAACUAUGGAAGUCCUCCUGCAAACUGGAUGUUUCGGACUUCUCUUGCCUGGAAGGAUCUUCCCGAGAAUCAAACUGACUGUGAUUCAAAUUUGUGGUUCUGGUCAACCCUUUUCCCAAGGAUCGUUUGGGUCUUCUCUCUGAGAAGGGGAUCCAUCUCCAAAACAAACCCCUUCAAGUACCGCAGGAAAUCUAAGUGGCA